RNAcentral lists this ribosomal RNA (28 nucleotides) under Plasmodium vivax (malaria parasite P. vivax). RNAcentral describes it as "partial 26S ribosomal RNA". The record is from RNAcentral. Lineage: Eukaryota; Apicomplexa; Aconoidasida; Haemosporida; Plasmodiidae.
AUGUUAGGAAGGCAAAUCCGCCGAAUUU